CCAGCCGUCUAGUGAGCUACCAUGGGACGACAUGGGGGCGUUGGUUUAGCGGUUUUCGUACUCGUGCUGGUCUUUUGCGAAGCAAGAAGACACAAACUCGCCCUAAAGAAUGACUCUAGGUUUGUGGUUCAUCUCAACACCUUUGGUUUCUUUGCCAACGGAACCCUGGACGUCAAGGUUCUCUCCUGAGACUGCCCGAGGACAACAGCAAGCACCCUGUGGGAUUCAGUCUCUCCAAGUCUCGUGUUAAUGGAGUGCUGUCCUACACAGCGGAGGAGACUGCGGUGUGUCCGCUCAGCAAACACAGCGGUGUGGAGCCCUUCUUCCUCUUCCUCAUUGACACCAACAACCUCAGAGUCAAUGUAAGGUCGUAUGGAGACCAGGACAGCGUCUUGACCCAGCUGAAGACAGACAAGACACUCACUAAAGACUCGGGUCAGCAGUAUUUACCUCCCUUCAAUACAACACAGUGGGGUAGUG
This is a long non-coding RNA of Oncorhynchus keta (chum salmon), 480 nucleotides long. RefSeq lists it as uncharacterized. The record is from RefSeq and is a predicted model, not a curated record. The transcript has 5 exons. Lineage: Eukaryota; Metazoa; Chordata; Actinopteri; Salmoniformes; Salmonidae.